Molecule: long non-coding RNA, 578 nt
Organism: Boleophthalmus pectinirostris (great blue-spotted mudskipper)
Lineage: Eukaryota; Metazoa; Chordata; Actinopteri; Gobiiformes; Gobiidae
Exons: 4
Source: RefSeq, a predicted model, not a curated record
GUAGUGUUUGUUCAGACCUCACUGAUCCAACAUGUUCUAAAAUAAAUGCACCCGCCUGUCCAGACGCAAACAUGUGCUUUGUAUCAACAACACAAAUUACUCAGGGUGGAACUACUACUACCAGAAUAAUAAAGAAAUGUGCAGACUCCUCGCUGUGUCCAGUUGCAGACACACAGACAUACUCCUUAAACACUGGAUUUGGUCAAGUGUUUGCACAAGCCACCUGUUGUAACAAAACAAACUGCAACAAAAAUACCCCACCACUGCCAUCGCCCCCUGGACCUGAUUCCCUGGGAUGCCCAACCUGUGAUCCUCUGACAGGCAGAUGUGAUGCUUCUGUACGAUGUAAUGUACUGGAGACCAGCUGCUUCAUAACAACAGCAACAACACCUUCAUCGACCAUCGUCCAGGGCUGUGCUUCACCAAACACGUGCUCCAACUCUGUUCUGAACACACUUCUACCUGAACUGUCCCCGAUCGAAACUGUGACUGGACCAAGCUCCUGCUGUACAAGUGAUGUUUAACUUCUUGUUUGUAACAGACUAAUCACUGCCCUGACAAAUCUGUAAAUAAACUGU